CCAAGGAGUCUAACAUCUAUGCGAGUGUUUGGGUGUCAAGCCCGCACGCGUAAUGAAAGUAAACGGAGGUGGGAACCCUUACGGGUGCACCAUCGACCGAUCCUGAUGUCUUCGGAUGGAUUUGAGUAAGAGCAUAGCUGUUGGGACCCGAAAGAUGGUGAAMUAUGCCUGUGUAGGCUGAAGUCAGAGGAAACUCUGACRAUAUCGCAGCGGUUCUGACCGUGCAAAUCGAUCGUCAAACAUGGGUAU
Molecule: ribosomal RNA, 249 nt
Filed under: Pyxidiophora microspora
Lineage: Eukaryota; Fungi; Ascomycota; Laboulbeniomycetes; Pyxidiophorales; Pyxidiophoraceae
Description: partial large subunit ribosomal RNA
Source: RNAcentral